RNAcentral lists this unclassified non-coding RNA (23 nucleotides) under Mus musculus (house mouse). RNAcentral's name for it is "oocyte_clustered_small_RNA12903". Lineage: Eukaryota; Metazoa; Chordata; Mammalia; Rodentia; Muridae. The record is from RNAcentral.
UGAGGCUGGGUAAGAGAGUCCUA